This 465-nucleotide ribosomal RNA is filed under the name uncultured bacterium. RNAcentral describes it as "partial 16S ribosomal RNA". It matches the Rfam family "Bacterial small subunit ribosomal RNA", at positions 28 to 507 of the family's 1533-position model. The record is from RNAcentral.
GACGAACGCUGGCGGCGUGCUUAACACAUGCAAGUCGAACGGAAAGGCCCCUUUGGGGGUACUCGAGUGGCGAACGGGAGAGUAACACGUGAGUAACCUGCCCUUGACUUCGGGAUAACUUCAGGAAACUGGGGCUAAUACCGGAUAGGAAUCCUUGCUGCAUGGUGGGGGUUGGAAAGCUUCGGCGGUUUUGGAUGGACUUGCGGCUUAUCAGCUUGUUGGUGGGGUAGUGGCUUACCAAGGCGUUGACGGGGAGCCGGCCCGAGAGGGCGACCGGCCACGUUGGGAUUGGGAUACAGCCCAGGCUCCUACGGGAAGGAGCAGUGGGGGAUAGUGCAACAGGGGCAGGAGCCGGAUGCAGAAACGCCGCGGGCGGGAUGGCGGCCUUCGGGUUGUAAACCGCUUUCAGCAGGGGCGGAGCUUGUGGUGACGGUACCUGCAGAAGAAGCACCGGCUAACUACGUG